This 263-nucleotide long non-coding RNA is filed under the name Nicotiana benthamiana. Its description in RNAcentral is "long non-coding RNA (NBEN_LNC006329)". Lineage: Eukaryota; Viridiplantae; Streptophyta; Magnoliopsida; Solanales; Solanaceae. The record is from RNAcentral.
CAUGAGAGUUCUUCACUGGCCAGCACUCCGCUCCAUACAACAUUUCAGGUCUAACCACAGCUCUAUAAAAUUUUGCCUUGAGUUUCUGUGGAACUUUCUUGUCACACAGGACUCCUGAUGCAAGCCUCCACUUUGACCACCCCGCUCCUAUACGAUGAGUGACGUCCCCGUCAAUCUCUCCGUCCCCUUGAAUCACCAACCCAAGAUAUCAGACACUGUCCCUCUUGACGAUGACCUGAGAUCCAAUCGUCACGUCCCUGCCU